RNAcentral lists this ribosomal RNA (583 nucleotides) under Lactobacillus sp. 120-6-20. RNAcentral describes it as "bacterial SSU rRNA". It matches the Rfam family "Bacterial small subunit ribosomal RNA", at positions 36 to 585 of the family's 1533-position model. The record is from RNAcentral. Lineage: Bacteria; Bacillati; Bacillota; Bacilli; Lactobacillales; Lactobacillaceae.
CUGGCGGCGUGCCUAUCAUGCAAGUCGAACGAGUUCUCGUUGAUGAUCGGUGCUUGCACCGAGAUUCAACAUGGAACGAGUGGCGGACGGGUGAGUAACACGUGGGUAACCUGCCCUUAAGUGGGGGAUAACAUUUGGAAACAGAUGCUAAUACCGCAUAGAUCCAAGAACCGCAUGGUUCUUGGCUGAAAGAUGGCGUAAGCUAUCGCUUUUGGAUGGACCCGCGGCGUAUUAGCUAGUUGGUGAGGUAAUGGCUCACCAAGGCGAUGAUACGUAGCCGAACUGAGAGGUUGAUCGGCCACAUUGGGACUGAGACACGGCCCAAACUCCUACGGGAGGCAGCAGUAGGGAAUCUUCCACAAUGGACGCAAGUCUGAUGGAGCAACGCCGCGUGAGUGAAGAAGGCUUUCGGGUCGUAAAACUCUGUUGUUGGAGAAGAAUGGUCGGCAGAGUAACUGUUGCCGGCGUGACGGUAUCCAACCAGAAAGCCACGGCUAACUACGUGCCAGCAGCCGCGGUAAUACGUAGGUGGCAAGCGUUAUCCGGAUUUAUUGGGCGUAAAGCGAGCGCAGGCGGUUUUUUA